UACGGGGGGGGCAAGCGUUGUUCGGAAUUACUGGGCGUAAAGGGUUUGUAGGUGGCUUGCUAAGUCAGACGUGAAAUCCCUCAGCUUAACUGGGGAACUGCGUCUGAGACUGGCAAGCUUGAGUGCAGGAGAGGAACGCGGAAUUCCAGGUGUAGCGGUGAAAUGCGUAGUUAUCUGGAGGAACACCGGUGGCGAAGGCGGCAUCCUGGACCGACACUGACGCUGAGGAGCGAAAGCCAGGGGAGCAAACGGG
This 253-nucleotide ribosomal RNA is filed under the name uncultured bacterium. RNAcentral describes it as "partial 16S ribosomal RNA". It matches the Rfam family "Bacterial small subunit ribosomal RNA", at positions 524 to 776 of the family's 1533-position model. The record is from RNAcentral.